RNAcentral lists this ribosomal RNA (281 nucleotides) under Acinetobacter baumannii. Its description in RNAcentral is "partial 23S ribosomal RNA". It matches the Rfam family "Bacterial large subunit ribosomal RNA", at positions 501 to 785 of the family's 2925-position model. Lineage: Bacteria; Pseudomonadati; Pseudomonadota; Gammaproteobacteria; Moraxellales; Moraxellaceae. The record is from RNAcentral.
CCGUGAGGGAAAGGCGAAAAGAACCCCUGUGAGGGGAGUGAAAUAGAUCCUGAAACCGCAUGCAUACAAGCAGUGGGAGCACCUUCGUGGUGUGACUGCGUACCUUUUGUAUAAUGGGUCAGCGACUUAUAUUCAGUAGCAAGGUUAACCGUAUAGGGGAGCCGUAGAGAAAUCGAGUCUUAAUAGGGCGUUUAGUUGCUGGGUAUAGACCCGAAACCAGGCGAUCUAUCCAUGAGCAGGUUGAAGGUUGGGUAACACUAACUGGAGGACCGAACCCACUG